This 548-nucleotide ribosomal RNA is filed under the name uncultured eukaryote. Its description in RNAcentral is "SSU rRNA". It matches the Rfam family "Eukaryotic small subunit ribosomal RNA", at positions 21 to 566 of the family's 1831-position model. The record is from RNAcentral.
CGAUUGUAGUCAUAUGCUUGUCUCAAAGAUUAAGCCAUGCAUGUCUAAGUAUAAGCAAUCUAUACUGUGAAACUGCGAAUGGCUCAUUAAAUCAGUUAUCGUUUAUUUGAUAGUACCUUACUACUUGGAUAACCGUGGUAAUUCUAGAGCUAAUACAUGCUAAAAACCCCGACUUUUGGAGGGGUGUAUUUAUUAGAUAAAAAACCAAUGCCCUUCGGGGCUCCUUGGUGAUUCAUAAUAACUUAACGAAUCGCAUAGCCUUGUGCUGGCGAUGGUUCAUUCAAAUUUCUGCCCUAUCAACUUUCGAUGGUUAGGUCUUGGCUAACCAUGGUUUCAACGGGUAACGGGGAAUUAGGGUUCUAUUCCGGAGAGUGAGCCUGAGAAACGGCUAACACAUCCAAGGAAGGCAGCAGGCGCGCAAAUUACCCAAUCCCGACACGGGGAGGUAGUGACAAUAAAUACUGAUCCAGGGCUCUUUUGGGUCUUGGAAUUGGAAUGAGUACAAUUUAAAUCCCUUAACGAGGAACAAUUGGAGGGCAAGUCUGGUA